Non-coding RNA from Maylandia zebra (zebra mbuna), 188 nucleotides. The record is from RefSeq and is a predicted model, not a curated record. NCBI's taxonomy places the organism in Eukaryota, Metazoa, Chordata, Actinopteri, Cichliformes, Cichlidae.
GACUUUAUAGGUGAACUGAGUCGGAGUGAUGUACAGCUGCAGGUCAAAGAACGGUUUCCAUCCUGGGCCAAAGCUCUCCUGGUUCUCCUGGUUCUUCUUGUGGUUUCUGGAGGUCUUUUAUUUCAUUUCCGGCACUAUUUCAUGUCAGUCCCCCAGGUGGAGGUGGAUUCAGGGGUGGAGUCUGUCCA